UGGAAACUCCCUCUGUUACCCUGGCUGGAAUGGGGUGGCGCAACCUCUCAGCUCACUGCAACCUCCACCUCUCGGGUUCAAGCGAUUCUCCUGCCUCAACCUCCCGAGUAGCUGGGACUACAGGCGCCCACCAUUAUGCCAGGCUAAUUUUUUUGUAUUUUUAGUGAAGACGGCGUUUCACCCUGCUGGCCAGAGUGGUGUCACACUCCUGACCACGUGAUCCAAGUGCUGGGAUUACAGGUAUGAGCCACUGUGCCCGGCCCUUUUAUAUGUUUUCUGAUGCAUGCUUAGAUUAUCUAUCGAGAGUAACACUUUUCAGAAGUUUACACUCUUUUAAAUGGGCAGAGAACCAAAACUGAAAAUCGCUUAUCACUGCUUCGGUGUUUGCCUAGGUAAAUGAAGUUUCGAAUCUACUUCGAUGAAUUUUUCAUACUAUGUAAGUUGCAUUUUGGGGAUCUUGUAAGAAAUAGAUUAUUUUCUAUUGUCCCUUGUACUGCUGGUGAUGUGAAGCUGCUCAAGCAGACCCUACCCACUUGCCUUUCAGUUAAAGAAAUUUUUAUCAUAGUACACACCUUGUUCAGAAAAUAAUCUAGUAGCUGAGUAAAACAGAUACUUUUCCCACAGUAAAACCAGAACUAUGUGGAAAACAGCCAUGUUUCUCAGCAGUUAAAUCUGAAGUUUUCUGAGGUUGAUUUGCAUUUCUGCCAUGUAUGUAUAGUGUGGCUUGCUUAAUCUGGUUGUUACCGCAAAUCUUAAACGUCCGCGUUUCUUUUUCUUUUUAUUUUCUUGAGACAGAAUUUUGCUCUUGUCUCCCAGGGUGCAGUGCAGUAACAUGAUCUCGGCUCACUGCAACCUCUGUCUCACAGUUCAGGCGAUUUGCCUGCCUCGGCCUCCUAAGUAGUGGGAUUACAGGCGCCUGCCAAACUUUUGUAUUUUUAGUGGAGACGGGGUUUCACCCCGUCUUGGACAGGGUGGUCUUGAACUCGUGACCUCAAGUGACCCAGCUACCUCGACCUCCCAAAGUGCCGGGAUUAUAGGCGUGCACCACUGCCCCCACCAGAUUCUGCAUUUUAAUAUAAAACAUUAGCUACUUUUCCAAAGUAAUAAAUUAAAAAGUAAGAUGUUCAAAGUACUAGUAUUUAGUCAACUUUUUAUGAUUACAUAAUUUCAGUGUAAAUGAAGAACCCGUUCCUUUUUGUUAGCCAUUAAGUUACUAUGACCUCGUUUUAUUUCUCUUAGACGUGUUCUAAUUAACUUCUCCUAAAAGGCAAAACUUUUUCUCUACAUUCCAUAUCCACAAGGCUUUUUAUCAUAUCUAGUAGGGGACAUCCAUGGGAACAGAUAUCAAAUAGAGUACUAGUACAGUUGGCAUUCAAGAAUGUUUUACGUAAGCCAGGUGUCAGGUGCCGUGGUUCACACGUGUAAUCCCGGCACUUUUGGAGGCCCAGGCAGGCGGAUCACCAGAGGUCAGGAAUUCGAGACCAGCCUGGCCAACAUGUGGAAACCCCAUGCCUACUAUAUAUAAAUAUAAAAAUUUGCCAGCCAUAGUGGUGCAAGCCUGUAAUCCCAGUUACUUGGGAAGCUGAGGCAGGAGAGUCACUUGAACCUGAGAGGCGGAGGUUGCGGUGAGACUGCAGUCCAGCCUGAGUGACAGAGUGAGACUCUAUCUCAAAAACAACAAAAAAAAGUAUUCUGUCAUGUACAUUCACACUUUAGAACUUGAUCGUUUGGAUGUUUGGGAACCUCCAGUUCUUUGUCAUGACUGAGGCAUUGGGUGAGUAGUAAACAGAAAACUGGAGAAGGGAUCUGAUGGUGUCAAACUCCUGUCAUCCUAAGACUUUCUAACUGUCUUCGUAGUUAAUAACAGAGCUAUUAUUGCCUGGUUUUAUACAAAGGAAUCAAUAAGCGUGCAAAAGUCUUUCUUUUAGCGCACUCCCAUCUUUAUAAAUGCUCCGUUUGUUCUUUACACAUAGACAAGGGGAGUAUUCCUUCUUCUUCGUCUUCCUCUCUCUUUUUUUUUUUUUUUUUUUUUUUUUGUUUUGUUUUGUUUUGAGACAAAGUUUCACUUUGUCUCCAGGGUGGAGGGCAGUGGCGAGAUGUCUCUGGGCUCACGGCAACCUGCGCCUCCCAGGUUCAAGCGGCUCUUCUGCCUCAGCCUUCUGAGUAGCUGGGACUACAGACACGUGCCGACACACCCAGCUAAUUUUUGUAUUUUGGAGACAGGAUUUUGCCAUGGGCCAGGGUGGUCUCGGCCUCUUGACCUCGUGAUCCACCUGCCUUGGCCUCCCAAAUCCCAAAGUGCUGGGAUUUACAGGCUGGGCCACCGCUCCUGGCUUCGAGUAUUUCUAAGACUAGAAGCCCAGGGAAGAAAUGGAAUAUUUUCAAUUUGUAGAAUAUAAGGAGAGGCACAAAUUGGGAAACAUUUUAAGGAAUAAAGUCCACAGAUCCUUGUGCAUGUGUGCUCUGAACAAGACAAAAUCCAGAAAGGACAGAGCAAAAGAUUAUCAUUUACCUGUAGAAAAUCUAAGUGAUUCUAAUUGGUUUAGAAUGGAACAGAUGGUUAUGGGUAUCUGAAAUUUAGAAAUGAAAGUUAGUUAGUUAAUCUACAGGUGAGGAGACUACAAAUCUACCUUGUGGCAUCACAUAAAGGGAAGGGAAAAAAAGCUAAAGAAAAAAAAAAAGCAGGAAGAAUUAAUAUUUUGAAAACCGUAUCUGUAUAAUUCUGAAAAGACAGAAAAAGAUCUCUUGGGUUAGUGCACGGUUGCUGUAGAGUUAACCUAAGCAACAUCGGUGAAAUAAUGUAGUUACACCCACAACUCAAAAGAUAUUUCCCUGUGGAUUAAUAUUUAAAAUUUUACAUUUGUAUUCAUAAUCCAUUUUGAGCUAAAUUUUUAUAUAAAUUAUAAGGCAUACAUCAAUAUUAUUUUUUGUUUUGUUCUUGCAUUUUGUGUCUAAGCUCCAGGACCAUUUGUUUGUACCUCUAAAAAGGAUCAGUAGAGUGAAUUCGUGUUGCUUGAUUUUCGUGUUUUCUAGUCAGGUCCAUUUUUAUAUCUGUUCAUCUUUGUGCCAGUGCCUCACUCUCUGGUUUGCCGUAAUUACCUAAUAGGUCUUCAUAUACAGCAAACAGUUUUUCUUUAUUCUUUAUGAAGAUUGUUUUACAUCUUAUAGAGUCUUUCCUUUUCGUAUAAAUUUUAGAGUAAGUUUGUCUAGGGCUACAGAAAGCCUUCCUGUGAUUUUUCAUAUGUUGGGCUAACUAUAUAGACAACAAUGUUUCUCAUGUCUAGAAUACAUGUCUACAUAAAUAUGCUUGCAGUAUAAUUGAUAGGUUAAUAAAAUUAGUAUCUUUAAUAUGUUGUGUAUCCCAAUCUGUAUAUUUCUCUUCAUUUCAGUCCGCGAUUUUUUUUCCACUGGCUUUUAUAAUGUUCAGUAUGCAGAUCCUGUUUGGAUCUUAUUCCCGCAGAUUAUGUCAUUUUUAAAAAUUGAUACAUAAUAUGUUACCUAUAUACGAGGGUACACGUGAUAUGUUGGUAUAUGUAUACAAUGUGUGAUUCUUAAAUUAGGGUAUUUUGAGUGUCCAUUACUUUGAGGAUUUACCAUAUCUAUGGAUUAGGGAAAAUUCAAGUCUUCUUCUCUUUCUAACUUGAAAUAUACAUUGUUAUUAACUACAGUUACUCAUCUACACUGCUGCGGAAUAGUAGAAAUGCCUUUUAUGUAACCGUAUGUUUGUACCCAUUAACCUACCUGUCUUGAUCAGCUUCCUCCCAGCCAUCCAUCCUUCCCAGCCUUUAGUAUAUCAUUCUACUCUCUACCUUUAUGAAAUCAUUUUUUAGCCCCCAUAUAUGAAUGAGAGCAUGCAAUAUUUACCUUUCCACAUCUAGGUUAUUUCACUUAACAUAAUGUACUUGGACAAGGCUCAGUGCUCAUACCUGUAAUCCCAGCACUUUGGGGGCUGCGGCAGGUGAAUCACUUGAGCCCAGGAGUUUGAGACCAUCCUGGGCAACAUGGUGAAAUUCCUCCUCUACAAGAGAUACAAAUAUUAGUCGGGUGUGAUGGCACAUUCUUGUAUGGCCACCUACCUGGUAGGCAGAAGUUAAAUGAUCUCUUAAGCCUGGGAGUUCAGGGAUGCAGUGUGCCGUCAUUGUGCCACUUCCUCUAUCCUCGGUGAUAGGGCAACAUUCUGCCUCAAAAACAGUAAACUAAUGAAUUCCACUUCCAUUCAUUUUCUGCAAAUGACAUGCUUUCGUUUUUGCUAUUUUUAUCUUAUUAUGUGUUUUGAUUUGAAUAUUCUCAUGCUUAGUGAUGUUGAGCAGUUUUAUAUGCCUGUUGGCUGUCUAUAUGUCUUUUUAGGAAUUGUCCAUUAUGUCAUUUGUCCACUUUUUUUUUUUUUUUUUUUUUGAGACAAAGCCUCGCUCUGUCCCCUAGGCUGGAAUGCAGUUGUGGGAUCCUGGCUCACUGCAACCUCUGCCUCCCGGGUUCAAGCGAGUCUCCUGCCUCAGCCUCCCGAGUAGCUGGGAUUGCAGGUGCUCGCCACUGUGCCUGGCUAAUUUUUGUAUUUUUGGUAGAGCUAAGAUCUUACCAUGUCAUUCAGACUGGUCUGAAAUUCCUGACCUUGUGAUCUACCCACCUCAUCCUCCCAAAGUGCUGGGAUUACCGCACUUGUCCAUCUUCUAAUGGGAUUGGUUUUAUACAUGAGUUGUAUGAGCUUGCAUUUUCCAGAUACCAUUGGUCCCUUGUCAGAUGAAUGGUUGGCAAAUAUUUUCUCCAAUUCUGUGGGUUGUCUGUUCCCUCCAGUGUUUGUUUCCUUAGCUGUGCAGAAGCCUUUUCGUUUAAUAUAGUGCCAUUUGUCUAUUUUUGUUUUUGUUGGCUGUGCUUUUGAGGUCUUGGCCAUAAAAUUUUGACCUAGAUCAGUGUUCUGUUGUAUUUCCUCUACUGCUUCUAGUAGUGGUAAACUUUUAGGUCUUUAAGUCUUUGAUCCAUCUGGAGGUUAUUUUAGUUUACAUAUUUUGAGACAUAGUCUUGCUGUGUCACCCAGGCUUGAGUGUAGUGGCAAGAUCUUGACUCGCUGCCGUCGCAACCUCCCAGGUUCAAGCAAUUCUUCUUCCUCUGUUUCCCAUGUAGCCAGGACUAUGGGCACCUGCCACCAUCCCUGGCUAAUUUUUGUAUUUUUAGUGGAGACAGGGUUUCGUCACAUUGGCCAGGCCGGUCUCCAGUUCCUGACAAGUGAUCCACCCACUUCAGCCUUUCAGAGUGCUGGGAUAACGGCAUGAUCCAGUGCACGUAGCCUGGAGGUGAUUUUGUCAUUCAGUAAGGAAAGAGCUCUAGUUUCAUUCUAUUACAUAUGGAUGUACGAUUUUCCCCACCACCAUUUGGUAAAGUUGGUGUGCUUUUUCAAGUGUAUAUUCUUUUCAUCUUUUUUUUUUUUUAAAGAAAGUCACUUGGCUGUAAAUAUCAGGAUGUAUUCUGGGGUUAUCUUCCUGGGUUAAUUUGCUUCCAUUGAUCUAUGUGUCUUUUUAUAUCAAUACUAUGUUCUUUUGGUUAUUGUAUCCCUGUAAUACAUUUUUAAGUCAGGUAGCAUAAUGUCUCUUUUUCAUGUGGAUUGCUCUGGCUAUUUAGCUAGUUUUGUUGUUAGCGUUACAUGAACUUUAGGAUUGUUUUGUCUAUGUCUGUGGAAAAUGGCGUUGGUAUUUCAAAGGUGAUUGGACUGAUUCUGCAGAUUACUUUGAGCAGAUUGUUCACUUUAAUGACAUUCCUCGAAUCUGUGAGCAUGGGAUGCAAUUCAUUAGGGAUAAUGGUCUGCAGUUUUCUUUUUUGUUGUGUGUUUUCUGGUUUGGGGCAGUAGUGUGUUCCAUUUAAUGACAUGAAUUCCUCUGAUCCAAGAGCAAGUGGAUGCAUUCAUCAAAGAUUGUGGUCUGCAGAUUUUUGUUGUGUGUUUUCCGGUUUUGGUUAUCAGUUAAUGCUGGUCUGAUAGAAUGAGUUAGGGAUAAUUCCUUCCUCGGUGUUUUGGAAUAGGCAGAUUGAUGUUUAUUCUUUGUUACAUGUUUAGUAGAAUUCAGCAGAGAAUCCAUUUGUUCUUUGGCUUUUCUUUGUGGGAGGCUUGUUAUUACUGAAUCAGUAUCAAUACUUGUCAGGUGUUCAGGAUUUUUAAUUCUUGAUUCACUCCAGGUAGUUUGUAUGUUUCCAGGAAUUCAUCCAUUACUUCUGAAUUUUCCAUUUAGUUUAUACUUGUUCAUAGUAACCCGUUGUCUUUUCUCUGGUAUCAGAUGUAAUAUCUCCUUUUUUACCUCUAUUUGUAUUUAUUUGUUUUUCUUCUUUUCUUGGUUACCUUAGCUAGUAGUUGAUCAGUUUUAUAUUUUCAAGAACCAACUUUGUGUUCAUUGAUCCUCUGCACACUUUCUUUAGUCCCCGCCCCCCCCCCAGCUUUUUUUAUUUGAGAUUUGGUGUCACCUUUAUUAUUUUGCGUCUUCUGCUAAUUUUGGGUUGGACUGUUAUAUUUGUAAUAGAUGCAUCAUUAGAUUGCUUAGUUAAGAUCUUUGUACUAUUUAGAUGCAUGCGCUUAUUGUUACACACUUCUCUUUUUUAAACUGCUCAUGUGAUAUUAAACAGAUUUUGAUGUAUUGUUCCCAUUUUCAUUUAUUUUAAUAAUUUUUUUUCAUUUGAAUCUUUACUUCUUCAUUGACCAAUGGUUGUUAAAGAGCAUGUCCUUUAAUUGCCACAUAUAUAUAGUUUCCAAGGUUCCCACUGGUAUUAAUUUCUAGUUUCUCAUGGAGUUUUUUUUUUCUCUUUUGCCUGUUAUUAUAUGAUUGUGUGUGUGUGUGUGUGUGUGUGUGUGUGUGUUUAAUUUUUUAAAGUGAGUUAGUAUCUCACUAUAUGAGGCUGAUCUUGAACUCCUGGGAUCAAGCGGACAUCCCACAUCAGCUUCCCUAAGUGCUGAAAUUACAGGUGUGAGCCACCAUGACGAGCCUUUUGUAUUUUUUUUUUAUUUUAAUUUUCAUAUGUUUUUCAGACAGUGUCUUGCUCUGGAGUGCAGUGGGGCAGUCAUGGCUCACUGCAGCUUUGACCGCUGGGCUCAAGUAAUCCUCACACUUUAGGUUCCUGAGUAGCUGGGCCUACAGACAUAAUGCCACCAUGCCCUGCUGAUUUAUGUUAUUUAUUUAUUUUUUUAGAUGGAGACCCAAGACUAUCAUUACUCACCUGCAAUUAAUUUUCCUCAGGACUGGUCCAGCAUUUCAGUCAGAAAUGAAAGAGCACCUGCAGAAGGAGUCUGAGAUCUCAGAGGGAGCAUGCAUACUACUUUGAUCUAAUAAUUUUAAACAAUAAAAUUGAGGAAAAUGAUUAGACAUCUGGAAGAAGCUGGUUUGAGCUUCAGGGCACUCAAAGAAGUGCCACUUCUCCUGUGUAACGCCCUGCCAGGGAGAUCGGGAAACUUUUCCUGUUUCAACUGGGGACUCAUCUGAGAUCCCAGAAGGUGAGCGAAAAUGUGAAGAUCUGCUUCUUUUCCAAAACCCUGCCACCUCUCUUUCUUACAGAUGAAAGGAUCUGUUUCCCUUCAAGGAGAUUUAACUGCCCUAAGUGGGCUGGUCAAACCCCACCUUUGUCUCUUUUCUCUUUCUCGUGGUUUGAAAUGGCUGUUAACACGUCCUUUAUAACGUUAAGGGUUUUGCUACCGGCUGCAGCAAUGCUGUUAAGUAAGAUGGCUCAGCUGCCAAAAGUGCAAAUCUGAUGAACUGUCCUUAGAGGUGCCAUCUCUGCCACCAGCCUGACAGACGCAAACACACACAGUUCAGGGAGCCUCCCCUUACCUUGUUUCCUCCCCGCACGGGAACCCAGACAUGUCCACAGCAUGCAAAGGUUGUGUCUAACAGCCAUGAGCUGGCGUAGGUGAGAGAAAACCAGGGUGGUAGCCAGGACCUCACAGGGCUGGCAGGCAAGUGCUUCUUGCCUGUCACACCAAUGGAACCUUUCCUCCCCUGGCCAAGGAAUUCAACCAAGUAUGAACCAGAGGAAGCAUACAAGGAUUAAAGGGACCCACUUGCACAGGGCAAGGAGGUCUUUCCCUAGAACCUCCCCGUUUUGAUCCUUAACCUGGUUUUUCUAUUUUUUUCCUUUUCUGAGUGAGAGGACUCCCACUUCCCAACACUCUAUUUCUGAUAGGGAAGUUAACAAAGAACCAUCCCUUGCUGGCUGACAACUGCAAAUUCAGCAGGCCCGUUUGAGACACUACCCAAACAGAAGCAGUCUCUGAAAUAUCUUUUUUGGUCCCAAACUUCAUUCCAAGCCUCCAGCUGAGAACUUAGAAAAUAAGCCCAGGUCAGAGGGAUCCAAAGUCAGGCAACGGGCACAAUGUAAAUAGGCAGCACUAAUUCCUAUUGACUCAACCCCCAACACCAUGGAAGGAGGCCAUACUCCCAUGGCAUAAACAGGCCCAGAGAACUCAAACUUUGUCAACAGCAGGGAGAAAGGUGGCACACAUGAGGGUGGUUAAUUCCUAUUCUGCAGGUUUUCCCUGCUCCAUGGGUCCACACUGCAUUGGUACCUAUGGCCAACACCUGCCAAGGUCACUGAGACUGAGGGAUAAGUGGCGGAAGGGAAGGGAGGAUACUAGCUUUCCUUCUCCAUCACACACUCAGUUUUUGCUUCAGCAAAACUGAAGUUAAAGAAAUGAGACAUGCCUCUAUUUCCUGUCUUUCAGAAUGGGCAACCAGCUCUCUUCACCACUCCCAGCUUAUAUUCCUCGGCAGUGUGUCCUGAACCAUUGAGACUGCUUUGACCCUCAGAAUCUGGAGAAAAAUGCCGAUGGCCCUCAAAGGUUUGGAGAAAUUAAAGACCGGGUUGGCCCUUUAUAAUUCAAUUCUAUACCAUCAAUUCAAUUCAAUUCUAUACCACCUGGCAGCUGGAGCGUUUUCAUAGACGUGAGAACAGAUGGUCUGGCUCUCAUAUAUGCAGGGCUUCUGUGACUUGCAAGGCAAUCCAGAACUUUGCCAACAGUGUACGAUUGAUCCAGUCCUCCUGUUUGGCAUCUCAGGGAAGACUUCAAGGGGCAAGCCUAGGAAAUUAAGGAUCUGAGUGCCAGAGGCACCCCAGCAGAUGAGCCAGCUUCCUCCAGCUCUGCUCCUCCAGGUCCACCCAAACCUCCAUAUCCAGCUUCAGCCUCUCACUUGUCCCCUCCUAGAAAUCCUUGCCCUUCACAAGCCCCAGACUCACUCUUGCCCCUCCAUCAUAUUGUGAUAACCUACCCUUUGUUAGCCUAACCAGUUCUCUCUUUCUUAGCUGAGAGCUGCACAGACUCUGGGAUAGCUUCAUGGGCUGGACAGACUCCCCUUUAGUUUCUUCACUUGCCCAUCCCCUCCCCUGACUUCUUCCCUUCCCCUAAGCAGGUAGCUGGGCUAAGCUGACUACAAGCAGACAAUGGAGUGUCCUUACUGAUAAGAUACCAAGUUAAGCUGUACCAGCCUCUCCUAGGGAUGUCUCUGCUAAUAGUAUCAGCCACCCCUCCGAACCUGCCCGCUGAUAACCAAAAGCCCCUACAUCGGCAACUGUUUAUCUUUCUGCAACAGUUUACCUUUUAAUCUUUGCUUGCUCUGCUUCUGUAAAACUUGCUUUAGCUAGGCUCCCCUUCCCUCCUUUAAGCAAGGCAUGAAAACAAACAAAGCCCCUUCUUCAGGGCUGAGAGAAUUUUGAGCAUUAGCCGUCUCUCGGUCCCCAGCAAACAGAGGACUCCUGAUUCAAUCUCAGCGUGUGGUGCUUUCUCUAACUCGCUGGGGUACCACAAAAUGCCCAGUGAAUCUGGGCCCAGUAAGGUCCAAGUCCCCUUCUCCCUAUAAAACUUAAAGCAAAUUUCCAGAAUCUCACCCAAAUAUUUGAACUCUCCUGGAAAGAUAUGUUACUUCUGAAUCAGUCCCUGAUAGGCACUGCUGCUUGGAUCUGGGGAUGAGCUUUGCAUCACACAUAGCAUCAGGGAAUGGAGCAAAUACCAUCCAAGUGGAAGAGAAGCAGUAUCAGUGAAUUACCCUAAAUGGGAUACCAGUGAUGGGAUAGUAGACUGGAAGAGGAGACACUUUCAGGUGUGCGUAAUGAAAGGCUUAAUGUAGGACUAAGACCAAGCAUCCCAAUUAUACUAAGUUGUCCACAACUGACCAAAGAUUUGAUGAAAAUCUCACUACCUUCUUGGAAAAGCUGAGAGGUCUUGGUCAAGCACACCUCUCUAUCCCCUGAUUCACCUGAGGGACAGCUAAUCCUAAAGGAUAAAUUUACAACUCAGGCAGCCCUUGAUUUUAGGAGGAGGUGGAAGAAAUGGUCCCUGGGGCCGGAUAGUACAUUAGAGGACCCCCUGAAAGUGGCAACCUCAGUCUUUUACAAGAGAGAAAUGGGGACCCGAGAAAGAGGCAUAAGCUUUAAUGACCACCAGGUAAGCCCACAAACACCAGAAUUUCCAGGCAGGGUACACCUGUUAACUGCUAAAAAUAUGGCUACAACAGGUACCUGUCUUCUAAAGUUUAAGUGAUCCCAUUCGAGAUUUAAUUUCUUUCAGCAAUGCAAAACAGCUCGGUAUACAAUGUUUUUGUUAGUAUAUUUUACGUCUUAGCUCAAUCUUUGGCCCUAAAUUUUCCUUCUAUGAUAUGCAUUUAAACCAUGCAUAUGUGACCUUAUAAAACUUGUUUUGUUUUUCUCUCAUGCAGAGGCCACCAAACUCCAAACAGGCAGGCAACCAGAGCCUCAAGACAAGCUAAGAACCCUUAAUUAAACAGAGCUCUAGAAGGAAUCUGACUGCCGUUUUCCUAAAAACAACGCCCCCUGUCAGAAGGAAGCAGCUAAGACUGGUUGUCUCCAUGUUUUGAUGGCAGUUAGAUAGGUGUACCUCUUCAGAGGACAAACAUGAUACAAGAAGAGGGCAGGGUCCCUGGCAAGGGCUCCACCCUCGUGCCCGUGUACCUAGGUGAGAAGACGUACUCCUGUGUUCACACCCAAAUCUUGCAUUUUCCUAGAGCACCCUGGCCUGCCACAGCCGCCACCCUGUGCCUAUAGAAACCCCAAGACCAUAGUGGGCACACACGCAAACAGCAGGACAUCAAGAGGUACACACUGGCAGAUCACACAGAUGGUGACAGACCACUGACAGUAGGGUGGUCUCGAUGCCGAGGAAAAUUCAGUAGAGUGUGGGUGGUCAAAUGAGAGAGUCCAGUCACUGAGAAGCUCAGCUGCAGGGGAAGGCCAACUUCCUACUCCAUCCCCUUUCUGGCUCCCCAGCUAUCUACUGAGAGCUACCUCCCCCCCUCAAUAAAACCUUGCAUUCAUUCUCCAA
This is a non-coding RNA of Callithrix jacchus (white-tufted-ear marmoset), 11299 nucleotides long. NCBI's taxonomy places the organism in Eukaryota, Metazoa, Chordata, Mammalia, Primates, Cebidae. The record is from RefSeq and is a predicted model, not a curated record.